RNAcentral lists this long non-coding RNA (1694 nucleotides) under Populus trichocarpa (black cottonwood). RNAcentral describes it as "long non-coding RNA (PTRI_LNC003750)". The record is from RNAcentral. Lineage: Eukaryota; Viridiplantae; Streptophyta; Magnoliopsida; Malpighiales; Salicaceae.
UGAAAAAAUGACGGGAGAAGAGAAGAAAAGGGGAGGAAGAAGAAGAGAAAAGAGGGAAAGAUAAGGGAAGGAGAAGAGAGUUGGAGAAAAUAAGUUUAAAGGUAAGAUUAUGUAUAAAUAUGUAUAAAUAUGUGUUCUUUAAGCUUUAAGUUCUAUCUUGGUUUUGAAUAUUUUAUGUUUUGGGUUUGAUUGAUGAAUUAAUUGGAAUAUUAUGGGUUGAUUGUUGUGGGUAAUUGGUUAAUUAGUUGAUUGUGAAAGAUUGGAGGUAAAGAUGAUGAUUUUGAGUUAUGAUUUUAUUUGAAUGGUUAAAUUAUGUUAGAAAUCAGGAGAUGACAGUAGGUAAUCUGUGAAAUUCUGGGUUUGAGGUUGAAGAUGACGAAAAUUCAAUUCGGUCCCUCAAUUUGUGAAAUUACAGUUUAGUCCCUAAACUUUGGGAAAAUUAUAAUUUGACCCCUAAUUGUAUUUUGAGAUUCUGGACAGUGUUAUUAUGAGGUUAAGGAUGAUGAAUCUCAGUUUGAUAAUUGAUUGGGAAUAUUUUCAGUUUGGUCCCUCAAUUUUGGGAAUUUACAUUUUAGUCCCUGAACUUUAUGAAAAUUACAGUUCGGUCCCUGGUUCGUUCUAGACAGAAUUAAGGAUGGUUUAUGGGUGAAAAUUCAGUAUAGUUAUGUAUUUUCCAGAUUGGUCCAAUUUUGGUAAAAUUACGUUUUGGUCCUUAUUUUGGAAAAUUGUCGUUUUAGUCCAUAAACUUAGGAGACUAAACCUGGUUUUAUUUUAUGCAUUGGGAUCUCUUGUUUGAGUUGCUUUUGAGUAUAUUUUCAUAUUGUUGUAGGUUCUCCUAACGAUCCUCAAUAGGAUUUUCAGGUCUUUCGUCUGACAUUCCUUUUAGUUCUAUAAUUUUCCGGGUGAGUGAGAUAAUCUUUAAUAUGCAUAUAUGAUAAGUAAAUAUGUAUGUUGAUUAUACAAUGAGUACAACUCGUUAAUUUCUUGAAUAAUUAUAUAUGUUGCUUAUUUUCCGAAUACUCAUUUAUUCUUGAAUUUGCACUCGCAAUCUGUCAAAGUAAAUUCUAUUUAAUAUGAUAUACGUUUCUUUGAUGAUUAUGUAAAUAUCUAUUAUGCCUUGAUAUGGGACUUGUCAGUAACUCCAUGCUAACGGAGAGUAGUUAGCCUACGUGCACAUAGUAUUCUGUAUACCUAGCUGGUGAGAGAGGCAUCAGCCUGUGGCGACUGAUCAUCCCACAGUGGUCACCUUCGGGUGUCAUCUGGUCACCUUCGGGUGUCAUCUGAUCUCUGACAUGUACUCCACUACGUUAUGAUGAUAUGUUUAGUAUGUAUAUAAUAUGUUUAGUAUGUAUAUGAUAUGUUCAGUAUGUAUAUGUAUAUCAAGAUAAAGGAUCUUGCGAACUAUUAAUAUCAAGAAUAUCUAAAAUGUAUAUUAAUUAUUAUUCCAGGUUCUUAGUUUCUGAUAGUAGGUGAACCUUGUUGAGUGUUCCUGCUUCUUCAGUUUUGGGUCGGUAUGCCUUGCUUAUCUUUCAAGGCUGUUUGAUUCGAUGUCUUAGGCGCUCCACUAUUACCUUAUUUUAAUUAAGUUUGGAUUUUUGACAAUGUAAUGAGUAUUAUGGAUUAUUGUUUUUCUUUUAAUUACUGAUGAGGAGUUUUAAACUAUCUUUUGGUUUCAUCAGUUUUGAAUAAUAUAA